This 586-nucleotide ribosomal RNA is filed under the name uncultured bacterium. Its description in RNAcentral is "partial 16S ribosomal RNA". It matches the Rfam family "Bacterial small subunit ribosomal RNA", at positions 355 to 1375 of the family's 1533-position model. The record is from RNAcentral.
UGGGGAAUUUUGGACAAUGGGCGAAAGCCUGAUCCAGCAAUGCCGCGUGUGUGAAGAAGGCCUUCGGGUUGUAAAGCACUUUUGUCCGGAAAGAAAUCCUUGGCUCUAAUACAGUCGGGGGAUGACGGUACCGGAAGAAUAAGCACCGGCUAACUACGUGCCAGCAGCCGCGGUAAUACGUAGGGUGCAAGCGUUAAUCGGAAUUACUGGGCGUAAAGCGUGCGCAGGCGGUUUGCUAAGACCGAUGUGAAAUCCCCGGGCUCAACCUGGGAACUGCAUUGGUGACUGGCAGGCUAGAGUAUGGCAGAGGGGGGUAGAAUUCCACGUGUAGCAGUGAAAUGCGUAGAGAUGUGGAGGAAUACCGAUGGCGAAGGCAGCCCCCUGGGCCAAUACUGACGCUCAUGCACGAAAGCGUGGGGGGCAAACAGGAUUAGAUACCCCUGGUAGUCCACGCCCUAAACGAUGUCAACUAGUUGUUGGGGAUUCAUUUCCUUAGUAACGCAGCUAACGCGUGAAGUUGACCGCCUGGGGAGUACGGUCGCAAGAUUAAAACUCAAAGGAAUUGACGGGGUCAUAGCUGUUUCCU